GCCAGGCGUGGUGGCGGGCACCUGUAAUCCCAGCUACUUGGGAGGCUGAGGCAGGAGAAUGGCGUGAACCUGGGAGGCGGAGCUUGCAGUGAGCCGAGAUUGCACCACUGCACUCCAGCCUGGGUGACAGAGCGAGACUCCAUCUGAAAAAAAAAAAAAAAAAAGAAAAGGAGUCUCGCUGUGUUGCCCUGGCUGGAGUGCAGUGUCAUGAUCUCGGCUCACUGCAGCCUCCACCUGCCGGGUUCAAUUGAUUCUCCUGCCUCAC
Non-coding RNA from Pan troglodytes (chimpanzee), 265 nucleotides. NCBI's taxonomy places the organism in Eukaryota, Metazoa, Chordata, Mammalia, Primates, Hominidae. The record is from Rfam.